ACAGACCUCAAGUUGAAGCCGUUACGAAGUGUAUAAAAACAACUAAUUAGAUCCUAGUAGUCCACUUUCAACAGCGGAGCCCUAGAGGCUUCGUCACGACAACUAUUUCCUGCCUCCUUCAUAUAUUCACGUCUCCAUGGUGACCAGAAACCAUAUGCUUUCAUGUUCUUUCUCUUUUCUCAAGAUAACAAAAUAAAGACUUCCUUGCAUUCA
Long non-coding RNA from Gadus macrocephalus (Pacific cod), 213 nucleotides. RefSeq lists it as uncharacterized. The record is from RefSeq and is a predicted model, not a curated record. Lineage: Eukaryota; Metazoa; Chordata; Actinopteri; Gadiformes; Gadidae. The transcript is spliced from 2 exons.